CCUACGGGAGGCAGCAGUGGGGAAUAUUGCACAAUGGGGGAAACCCUGAUGCAGCGACGCCGCGUGAGUGAAGAAGUAUCUCGGUACGUAAAGCUCUAUCAGCAGGGAAGAAAAUGACGGUACCUGACUAAGAAGCCCCGGCUAACUACGUGCCAGCAGCCGCGGUAAUACGUAGGGGGCAAGCGUUAUCCGGAUUUACUGGGUGUAAAGGGAGCGUAGACGGCGCUGCAAGUCAGAUGUGAAAACCAUGGGCUCAACCUGGGGCCUGCAUUUGAAACUGUUUGUCUUGAGUACUGGAGGGGCAAGCGGAAUUCCUAGUGUAGCGGUGAAAUGCGUAGAUAUUAGGAGGAACACCAGUGGCGAAGGCGGUCUGCUGGACAGCAACUGACGCUGAGGCGCGAAAGCGUGGGGAGCAAACAGGAUUAGAUACCCGAGUAGUC
RNAcentral lists this ribosomal RNA (440 nucleotides) under uncultured bacterium. RNAcentral's name for it is "partial 16S ribosomal RNA". It matches the Rfam family "Bacterial small subunit ribosomal RNA", at positions 338 to 795 of the family's 1533-position model. The record is from RNAcentral.